Oryza sativa Japonica Group (Japanese rice) is the source of this 615-nucleotide non-coding RNA. NCBI's taxonomy places the organism in Eukaryota, Viridiplantae, Streptophyta, Magnoliopsida, Poales, Poaceae. The record is from RefSeq and is a predicted model, not a curated record.
UUUGAUUUGAAACCAAGAGAAGCAAUGCGGGGGGUGGUCAGGCACCACGGCGUCGGCGUGGUGGCGCGGAUCACCGGCGGCCGCGGUGUCGCCGCCUGCCGCCACUGCCGCGGCCGGAGGCGAGAUCACUGACCUCCACCGUCCUCCUCCAGCCGAGGGUAAUCUGCUGAUUGAGUUGGUGCGGGAGUUGUUGGGCACAGCCAGGUACGAGGAGGACUUCCUCCCCGCCGCCGCUGGACUACCUCCUCCCCCCGGUCGCCUCCGCCGCUGCGGCAUCUCCUCCGAGGACGCCGCGUUUUGGCGAGCCGAAGCGCUUGUACCAAUGCAGUUUCAGUUAUUGCGCAAUCGGCGACGACCUAAUGCAUACUUGCGUCGGAAGAAUUUACUGCUGCCAUCUUCCGAUGAUGCUGCCCGUAAUGGCAAUGGUAACAGUAUUGCCAUGGCUCAUCAAUCCCAGGGGAGUUGCCAUUGGGAGACUCUUGAAAUAUAUUUGGAGAAAUACAAAGAUUUGCAUCCGAGGUUGCCUGUCAUUGUUGCGGAAACACUUCUUUACACAGACCCUGAGAUUGAGCUACCACUUUGGCUAGUCCAGAUGUUUAAGUUACACCAAGGCUG